Dioscorea cayenensis subsp. rotundata (Guinea yam) is the source of this 537-nucleotide long non-coding RNA. RefSeq lists it as uncharacterized. The record is from RefSeq and is a predicted model, not a curated record. The transcript has 3 exons. NCBI's taxonomy places the organism in Eukaryota, Viridiplantae, Streptophyta, Magnoliopsida, Dioscoreales, Dioscoreaceae.
CAUAAAUAUAUAUAUAUAUAUAUAUAUGUUAUACAUUGGAAAUAUAUAGAGAAGGUUCUUUUAUUGUUGUUGUUGUUGUUGUUAUUGAUUAAGGAAAGGGAAAUAAUAUGGAGUCAAACAAGGUUGAAAGCAAGAUGAACAUACCAUGCUCAAAGAAAGGGAAAGAAGGGAACUUCUUUGAUAACUUGAAGUCUCAGUUUGAUGUUUUCAUGAACACUUCCAUGGAACAACAUAGGAUUUGUCUUCAGAGGAGUUUCAAUGAUUUCAGAGACUUUGUCAAGCAUAAGAGAGAAGAAUUGAGCUUGAAAGCAUCCAAUGCUGGUGGCAAUGGAGGUGAAGCAGAUGGGAAAGGAACAAAUAAUUCUUAGUUCUUAAUUCUCACUCAAUAUGAUUACAUUGGGAUGAAUAAUUGUUUUUGAUUUUUGAUUUCAAACAUUAUUGUUCAUGUUUAUGAUUUCUGAAUAUAUGAAUUCUGUCUCAAGGACUUGAUAUUUGAGAUUCUUAAUUCUUAUUUAAUAUUGGUGAUCUGGGGAUGAA